AUUUCUGUGAGUUUCUUACAGGAAACAAGCAUAGUCAUGAGAGACCCAAAAUCCGAAAAGAAGUUACACUUCAGAUGGAAAACAUGAAGUCUUUCCCAGGGAACUCCGAUGAAGUGUUCCAACAAAAUGAGCGAGUGAACCAAGAAGAGGAUGACAUUAGAUCCAGGAGAUACAACAGAGGAGAUAAUCUCCAGGAUGCCUGUGAAGAAAGAUCCCUGGAUCCCAGGAUGAUUAUAGGACAAGUUGUUCAUAAUCCAGCAGGCCAGAAGACUUCCAGGGAAACUCAUUUCAAGAUGAAAAUGGACCAGCCGCAGUGGCUCACGCCUGUAAUACCAGCACUUUGGGAGGCUGAGGCAGGCGGAUCACUUGAGGUCAGGAGUUUGAAACUAGCCUGGCCAACGUGGCAAAACUCCAUCUCUAUUAAAAAUACAAAAAUUAGCCAGGCAUAGUGGUGCAUGCCUGUAGUCCCAGCUACUUGGGAUGCUGAGGCAGGAAGAAUUGCUUGAACCUGGGAGGCAGAGUCUGCAGUGAGCCGAGAUCAUGCCACUGCACUCCAGCCUGGGUGACAGAGCCAGACUCCGUCUCAAAAAAAAAAGAAAAAGAAAAAAAAAAUGAUGACUCUUUCAAGAAAUGAAAAUGAUGAGAUAUCUGGUAGGUCUGAAUGACUUAAGAGGAGAUUUAAACAUUUGGGAUAAGUUGAAGAUGAGCUGGUGUUCGUCUUCAUUUAUUUCAUUUAAAUAAAUAAAAUUAUUAAUACAUGAA
Homo sapiens (human) is the source of this 762-nucleotide long non-coding RNA. RefSeq annotates it as NAIP antisense RNA 1. Lineage: Eukaryota; Metazoa; Chordata; Mammalia; Primates; Hominidae. The transcript has 2 exons. The record is from RefSeq and is a predicted model, not a curated record.